GUGCUCGUUUCGGCUGCACGUAUACUAAAAUUGGAACGCUACAGAGAAGACUAGCAUGGCCCCUGCGAAAAGAGUGAGCUGGAAGAUAUUAUG
This 93-nucleotide small nuclear RNA is filed under the name Microtus ochrogaster (prairie vole). The record is from RNAcentral. Lineage: Eukaryota; Metazoa; Chordata; Mammalia; Rodentia; Cricetidae.